Molecule: unclassified non-coding RNA, 221 nt
Filed under: uncultured Tomentella
Lineage: Eukaryota; Fungi; Basidiomycota; Agaricomycetes; Thelephorales; Thelephoraceae
Description: sequence contains ITS2
Source: RNAcentral
ACACCUCAACUCCCAUGGUUCGCCAUGGUGAGCUUGGACUUUGGGGGUUUUGCUGGCCCACGGUCGGCUCCUCUCAAAUGAAUUAGCCUGCCAGUGUUUGGUGGCAUCACGGGUGUGAUAAAUAUCUACGCUUGCGAUUGUCCACCAGGUAACCUUCAGCAAUGGGGGUUCGCUGGGGCUCACAGAUGUCUCUCCCUCAGCGAGGACAGUUUUUUUAACGU